This 284-nucleotide ribosomal RNA is filed under the name uncultured bacterium. RNAcentral's name for it is "partial 16S ribosomal RNA". It matches the Rfam family "Bacterial small subunit ribosomal RNA", at positions 29 to 339 of the family's 1533-position model. The record is from RNAcentral.
AACGAACGCUGGCGGCAGGCUUAACACAUGCAAGUCGAACGGGUGUAGCAAUACAUCAGUGGCAGACGGGUGAGUAACACGUGGGAACCUUCCUUAAGGUACGGGACAACUCAGGGAAACUUGAGCUAAUACCGUAUACGUCCGAGAGGAGAAAGAUUUAUCGCCUUUAGACGGGCCCGCGUCGGAUUAGCUAGUUGGUGGGGUAACGCCUACCAAGGCGACGAUCCGUAGCUGAUCUGAGAGGAUGAUCAGCCACACUGGGACUGAGACACGGCCCAGACUCC